CCUACGGGAGGCUGCAGUGAGGAAUAUUGGUCAAUGGACGAGAGUCUGAACCAGCCAAGUAGCGUGAAGGAUGACUGCCCUAUGGGUUGUAAACUUCUUUUAUAUGGGAAUAAAACGUUCCACGUGUGGGAUUUUGUAUGUACCAUAUGAAUAAGGAUCGGCUACUCCGGGCCAGCAGCCGCGGUAAUACGGAGGAUCCGGGCGUUAUCCGGAUUUAUUGGGUUUAAAGGGAGCGUAGGUGGAUUGUUAAGUCAGUUGUGAAAGUUUGCGGCUCAACCGUAAAAUUGCAGUUGAAACUGGCAGUCUUGAGUACAGUAGAGGUGGGCGGAAUUCGUGGUGUAGCGGUGAAAUGCUUAGAUAUCACGAAGAACUCCGAUUGCGAAGGCAGUUCACUGGACUGCAACUGACACUGAGGCUCGAAAGUGUGGGUAUCAAACAGGAUUAGAUACCCUUGUAGUC
This 459-nucleotide ribosomal RNA is filed under the name uncultured bacterium. RNAcentral describes it as "partial 16S ribosomal RNA". It matches the Rfam family "Bacterial small subunit ribosomal RNA", at positions 338 to 795 of the family's 1533-position model. The record is from RNAcentral.